Molecule: ribosomal RNA, 484 nt
Filed under: uncultured bacterium
Lineage: Bacteria
Description: partial 16S ribosomal RNA
Rfam family: Bacterial small subunit ribosomal RNA
Source: RNAcentral
AUGAACGCUGGCGGCGUGCCUAAUACAUGCAAGUCGAACGCUGGAGAUCUAGCUUGCUAGAUCGAAGGAGUGGCGAACGGGUGAGUAAUACAUAAGCAACCUACCCACGAAGACUGGGAUAAUCUCUGGAAACGGGGACUAAUACCGGAUAGGUAAUCGGAAGGCAUCUUCUGGUUAUUAAAGGUUAAAAACACUGGUGGAUGGGCUUAUGGCGCAUUAGUUAGUUGGUGAGGUAACGCCCACCAAGACGAUGAUGCGUAGCCGGCCUGAGAGGGUGAACGGCCACAUUGGGACUGAGACACGGCCCAGACUCCUACGGGAGGCAGCAGUAGGGAAUUUUCGGCAAUGGGGGCAACCCUGACCGAGCAACGCCGCGUGAGUGAAGACGGCCUUCGGGUUGUAAAGCUCUGUUGUAAGGGAAGAACGGUAGAUAGAGAAUAUCUAAGUGACGGUACCUUACCAGAAAGCCACGGCUAACUACGUG